Molecule: ribosomal RNA, 468 nt
Filed under: uncultured bacterium
Lineage: Bacteria
Description: partial 16S ribosomal RNA
Rfam family: Bacterial small subunit ribosomal RNA
Source: RNAcentral
GACGAACGCUGGCGGCGUGCUUAACACAUGCAAGUCGAACGGCAAGGCCCUGCUUUCGUGGGCUGCCCGAGUGCCGAACGCGUGAGUAACACGUGUGCAACCUGCUCUUGUUUUUGGUGUAACAUCAGGUAACUGGGGUUAAUAUCGUAUAGCAUCCCACGCACGAUUGAAGGGGGUGGAAAGUUUCGGCGGGUGGGGAUGGAUUCGCGGCUUACCAGCUUGCUGGUGGGGUAGUGGCUUACCAAGGCAUUGACGGGUAGCCGGCCUGUGAGGGUGGCCGGCCACAUUGGGACUGAGAUACGGCCCAGACUCCUACGGGAGGCAGCAGUGGGGAAUAUUGCACAAUGGGCGGAAGCCUGAUGCAGCAACGCCGCGUGCGGGAUGACGGCCUUCGGGUUGUAAACCGCUUUCGCCUGUGACGAAGCGUGAGUGACGGUAAUGGGUAAAGAAGCACCGGCUAACUACGUG